This 301-nucleotide ribosomal RNA is filed under the name uncultured bacterium. Its description in RNAcentral is "partial 16S ribosomal RNA". It matches the Rfam family "Bacterial small subunit ribosomal RNA", at positions 509 to 807 of the family's 1533-position model. The record is from RNAcentral.
CAGUCGCCGCGGUAAUACGUAGGGUGCGAGCGUCAAUCGGAAUUACUGGGCGUAAAGCGUGCGCAGGCGGCUUUGCAAGACAGAUGUGAAAUCCCCGGGCUCAACCUGGGAACUGCAUUUGUGACUGCAAGGCUAGAGUGCGGCAGAGGGAGAUGGAAUUCCGCGUGUAGCAGUGAAAUGCGUAGAUAUGCGGAGGAACACCGAUGGCGAAGGCAAUCUCCUGGGCCUGCACUGACGCUCAUGCACGAAAGCGUGGGGAGCAAACAGGAUUAGAUACCCCGGUAGUCCCUGUCUCUUAUAC